Molecule: ribosomal RNA, 678 nt
Filed under: Triticum aestivum (bread wheat)
Lineage: Eukaryota; Viridiplantae; Streptophyta; Magnoliopsida; Poales; Poaceae
Description: partial small subunit ribosomal RNA
Source: RNAcentral
AUGGGUUCAGCUGGGGAUGAGUUCACCCCACUGUCUCAGUUAGAAUAUGGAAUGGACAAAUGUAAAGUGCGGGUGCGCGUCUCGCGGCUGUGGGAGUCCUUCAAUCCAAAAGAUGACACUUUGUUCGGCCUUGACUGCCUUCUGAUCGAUGAUCAGGGUAAAACUAUGCAGGCGCGUGUAGAACCCGGCGAUAUAGAGUGGUUUGAAGAUCUGCUAGUUGAAGGGAAGGUCUAUGCCUUGUCAGAUUUUCAUGUUGAUUCGCAGAGAGACUACUAUAUGUCCUGUAGCAAUGAGUGGACUAUGUACUUUGGGAGGCAGACGGUGGUCACUGAGAUAGAGGUAGAUAUUGAUUCGAUACCCCUCCACAGCUUUGAGUUUGUGAAAUUUAAGGAUCUCCGUUAUAGGUGCGACGACAACAGCUUAUUGACAGAUGUUCUGGGUCACGUAGUGUAUGCCGGGGAGCUACAGGAAGUCUUGAAAAAAUCACGUGUUAUAGAAAUUUGCAAUGCAAGAAUUCGGGAUUUGAGAGGAAGGGCACUGAGUGUCACACUAUAUGGAGAUAUUGCUUCUGGUUUUGCUGAGGAUAUGCUGGAGAAAGGCCAAGACACCUCACUUGUUGUUGUCUUUGCGGGGAUGUCUGUUACUUCCUCAUCAUCAGUUUGCUCUACAACAUCUUAA